GAUGAACGCUGGCGGCGUGCCUAAUACAUGCAAGUAGAACGCUGAAGGGAGGAGCUUGCUCUUCUGGAUGAGCUGCGAACGGGUGAGUAACGCGUAGGUAACCUGCCUGGUAGCGGGGGAUAACUAUUGGAAACGAUAGCUAAUGCCGCAUAACAGUAGAUAUUGCAUGAUAUCUGCUUGAAAGGGGCAAUUGCUCCACUACCAGAUGGAUCUGCGUUGUAUUAGCUAGUUGGUGAGGUAACGGCUCACCAAGGCGACGAUACAUAGCCGACCUGAGAGGGUGAUCGGCCACACUGGGACUGAGACACGGCCCAGACUCCUAUGGGAGGCAGCAGUAGGGAAUCUUCGGCAAUGGACGGAAGUCUGACCGAGCAACGCCGCGUGAGUGAAGAAGUUUUUUCGGAUCGUAAAGGCUCGUGUUGUAAGAGAAGAAGCGAGUGGAGAAGUGGA
RNAcentral lists this ribosomal RNA (450 nucleotides) under Streptococcus australis. RNAcentral describes it as "bacterial SSU rRNA". It matches the Rfam family "Bacterial small subunit ribosomal RNA", at positions 28 to 465 of the family's 1533-position model. Lineage: Bacteria; Bacillati; Bacillota; Bacilli; Lactobacillales; Streptococcaceae. The record is from RNAcentral.